This 425-nucleotide ribosomal RNA is filed under the name uncultured prokaryote. RNAcentral's name for it is "bacterial SSU rRNA". It matches the Rfam family "Bacterial small subunit ribosomal RNA", at positions 355 to 796 of the family's 1533-position model. The record is from RNAcentral.
UGAGGAAUAUUGCGCAAUGGGGGAAACCCUGACGCAGCAACGCCGCGUGAAGGAUGAAGGUUCUUGGAUCGUAAACUUCUUUUCUGAGGGAAGAGUAAGGACGGUACCUCAGGAAUAAGUCACGGCUAACUACGUGCCAGCAGCCGCGGUAACACGUAGGUGGCGAGCGUUAUCCGGAUUUACUGGGCGUAAAGGGCACGCAGGCGGUUAAUCAAGUUCGGCGUGAAAUCUCCCGGCUUAACUGGGAGCGGUCGUUGAAAACUGAUUAACUUGAGUCAAUGAGAGGGGUGCGGAAUUCCGGGUGUAGUGGUGGAAUGCGUAGAUAUCCGGAGGAACACCAGUGGCGAAAGCGGCACCCUGGCAUUGUACUGACGCUCAUGUGCGAAAGCGUGGGUAGCGAACGGGAUUAGAUACCCCCGUAGUCC